This is a long non-coding RNA of Bos taurus (domestic cattle), 1925 nucleotides long. NCBI's taxonomy places the organism in Eukaryota, Metazoa, Chordata, Mammalia, Artiodactyla, Bovidae. The record is from Ensembl.
GCUAUAGUCUUUUUCAAAUAUUCCCUUUAAAUUUUUUAUACACAUAAUUUUAUAUACUUGUAGUCAUAAUUUAUGAAUAUAUUUUUGACUUGCUUUUAAAGAUCAACAAAACAAAACAAUACUGAUUCUUUUAAAAAUCACUUCAGGGACUAGUCUCUAGAAUGAACACACACACACUUUUGGAUGCUUGUGCAGGAUUACAGUAAGAUAAUCAACAGCAUCAUCAAUGGACUUAGAUUGCAGACUGCAUUUGCAAUAAUCUCGAACUUAAGUAAUGAUGUUUUUACUGUCCUGAAGGAAAACUGAAUUUUUCAAAACAGUCAAGGGCAAGAAAGAGGGAUACAGAUAAGUCUUCUCCACCAGCUAUGAGUUAUACCUGUCUACUAGGUUAAAGCAGGUUUCAUGAUUGAUAUGUCUGUGGUUAACAAUUUGGUGUCAAUAUAGAUAAUAUUUAUCCUUCAAGGUUCAUAUAACUGGCUAUUUCAUUUAGAAAUCAAAUUUAUUUCCCCUGAUCUUUCCAUGGAAAGUAAGGACCUCAACAGUUGGAAAAACAAGUGUUUCUUUUCCUUUGGCUUACAGAGAGGCUCAGCAUUAGAAACUUAUUCAUAAAAUUGGCACACUUUAUAAAGACACAUUGGGAAGGCAGGGAGUUUCUUACAUCUACUUUUCACAAUUGUCCAACACAAAUCUCACUUUGGAUUGGGCUGCCAGCCUGAAUGGGUGAGAGGUGGCACAUAACAUUUUUAUGUCUUUGUUUCAUUUGGUGAAUCAAUGACAAUGACUUCUUUUGUCAUAUGGUAGGUAGUUAGAUAUGCAGAACUUCUAGAAAUAGUGCAGACUGGAAUGUACUUUGAAUUGUGCCAAUGAAUAAGGAUUUUUUGUUUGAUUUUUAGCUAAGGCUGACCUUUUGUCCCUGCCAUUUAAGGGAUUCCUUUCCAAUUUCCAGUUAUCACUAAGGAUGUGUAGAGGGAAUGACAUCUUAAUAUCAAACACAAUCUCAAAGUUGGAAGUAAGAGUAUUUGUGUAUCAUAGACAUUUGUUCUUAAUCACAACAUGGGGGCUUCCCUCAUAGCUCAGUUGGUAAAGAAUCCACCGGCAAUGCAGGUGACCCGGGUUCAAUUCCUGGUUCGGGAAGACCCCCCCUGGAGAAGGAAAUGGCAACCCACUCCAGUAUUCUUGCCUGGAGAAUCUCAUGUACAGAGAAGCCUGGCAGGCUACAAGACUUAGCAACUAAACCACCAUCACCAAUCACAACAUGGUUCUUAACAUUAUGGAUAACAGAAAUCAAUUUAGGUUGCUUUUCAGGCUUAAUUUAAACAAUAUUGUUGUCUUUUGGGGUUCUAGCACCUCCUUGUCUAUACUUAUUAUCUCUUUUGCAGGAGCGGUGGUGGUGAGGAGUGUGAAGAUGAUGGGAGAAUGUCUUACAGAAACUGAACGACGACAAGGCUGCUGUCCCGUGGGGUCAUAUGGACUGCUGCAGGAGACUCCUCAACCACGACACCUAAACGAAAGGUCGCCAUUUUAAACACAGAGCCAGGCACUUGGUUGAUGCUCAACAGAGAUGACUCGAGCCUCGGGUGCCCAACGACGUGCAUAGGGGCUGCAAAGAAGUUGGAGACCCAGUCUUUGAGCCCUAAGGGAUCACGGUCCACAACUGAAGACAUGAUUUCCACAGAGCAAGAUUAAACGUUAACCUUGGCCAUGAGAUCCUUUGAGUCCCAGUAACUUGAUUGCAGCGAAGCCUUGGUGACCUGAACCCUCCCCGCCCCCGCCCCAAACGCUAGGUCAGUCCCACGAGUGACGAUGGCAAAGCCCAGCACGGCUUAAGUUAUCACUGAAGCGCGGACGGGAGACCUUCUCCCACCAAGCGCCCAGACGGCGGCAGCAGGACGCUUCCGGGGGGCGCCCCGGCGGCUGGCGGGAGG